GUACUACUCCCUCCGUCCAGAAAUACUUGUCGGAGGGAUGGAUGUAUCAAGACGUAUUUUAGUUCUAGAUACAUUCAUUUUUAUGCAUUUCUUCGACAAGUAUUUCUGGGCGGAGGGAGUAUGUG
Triticum aestivum (bread wheat) is the source of this 125-nucleotide non-coding RNA. The record is from Rfam. NCBI's taxonomy places the organism in Eukaryota, Viridiplantae, Streptophyta, Magnoliopsida, Poales, Poaceae.